AUACGAGUAUAACACGUGGUAACAGGAAAGAGAAACUACGCCGUGUCACUCGCCACCGCCUCAACCAUUGCGGACCCUGUUAUUGCAACCACCACCACAGAUACGCCUGAUCCUACUGCUGCCACAGCCUCUUUAUCAUUGAAACACAAAAAGCAACCACCCAGCAUUUCCUCAGGUGUUCUUGGAAAGAAAAGGAGUGUGCAAAGUGGACAAGGAAGGAGGCGUAUAAAAAAAAGGUAACAGGCUCCCUCGACACAACCACCACCACCACCAGCUCUGGUGUCACCACCUCCACCGUCGUUACGUAUUUAGUUUCUUGUUUGGAAUAUUUUUUUCCCAUAGAGGAACUGUAAAAUGAAGUAGGUGUAAGAAAAUGCAGUAAAGUUACUGGUUUUUUGCUUCUUGUUGAGGAAGAACUUUUUCUAGAAAAGAAACGCUUAAAGGGUUAAUGUUAGUGCAGCAGGAUUAGCACAUUAUUUCAGGCAUUACAGCACAUCAGCAUUAGCACAGCAUCACAAUUCUGUAACAACAUUAUUUUAGGCAUGACAACAUCACAAGCAGAACAACAUUACAUACAAACGCAAAACAGCAUCACAUAACAGUGAUAAUAAGAUUAAGAUGCUGUGAUGCUGAGGGUCAGAUUAUGAUGUUGUGCUGUUAGGUCUAAGAUAAUAAUGAUGUGAUGUCUAAGAUACCCUGUGAUGCUGUUAGAUCUAAGAUAAUGAGGCUGUAAUGCUGUUAUGUCUAAGAUAAAGAUGAUGUGAUUCUGUUGUCUAAGAAUAACACAACAGCAACACAGCAUCACCACCAGUACCCAGGCAUCAUCACCACACACAUCAGUUUCCCCACAAACCUCACCAUCAGACACACACAACCACCACCAGUACCCAGGCAUCACCAUGCAGCGUCACACUCAAAACAGCAGCAUCACAUUUGAACAGCCCAUGGUGAGGAAUUAAAGCAAGAGGGAAUAUUGCGUAAUAAUUGUAAGUACUCGGUAGGUUCCCACGUCACCUGUUCAAAGCAGACGAUUUUUUUUGCUUUUGCUACUUUUUGCUAUUGUGGCAGUAUGUACUUUGUUUAUUUGACAGUUUCAUCAAAUUUAUCUUAUUUUCUGAGUAAUUGCGUUUUUAAUAAUGUUUUAAGUGCAACAGGAACCGAAUUCUUGAGUAAUGAAAGAUGAGGCUACAAGAAGAAGCAGAGGAAAUUCCGAAAUGGACGUCGGUGUGUGUUUUUCCAUCUUAUUUCACCAUUUUAUCCUCAGGAAAUCUCUGCUGGGGAGACUGGUCACUUGAUAGCAACAAGAACUGACGUCAGUUGACCAAGACACCACUAGGAAUUGACAUUAGCUGACCAAGACAGGACCAGAAAUUGACACCCACUUGCCACAAUAUCAUUAUUUCUCCCAGCUGUGAAGAACAUGCGAGCACUUGGGAGUUGCUUCCAUCAUGGGAGUGUCCCUCAAGAGUAGGAGCCACCCCUCUCACUGACCUGAGUCACCUGACCCUAUCAGCUCCAACACCUACCCAAUCAGCAGUGCAGCAUGGGUCACCUACAGGGUUGGCUGUGGUGUGUCCCUCAUUGUGUACACAUCAUACUCUGCCACACUGGUCUCACACCUGGCAGUGGAGCAGUCUGUGACUCUGCCCUUCAGCAACCUGCAGGAGCUGUCUAGGCAGUCAGGCUGGGAUGCUGGAUGCAACAACAAUGACCUCUUCAAAGUGACAGCCUCAGUGGCUCCUUGGUUUUUUGCUCCCUGUGCUGAUAUACCAUCCACACUUCAGAGAGAGAGAGAGAGAGAGAGAGAGAGAGAGAGAGAGAGAGAGAGAGAGAGAGAGAGAGGGGGGGCAGGCAGGCAGACAGACAGAGAGAGAGAGAGAGAGAGAGAGAGAGAGAGAGAGAGAGAGAGAGAGAGAGAGAGAGAGAGAGAGAGAGAGAGAGAGAGAGAGAGAGAGAGAGAGAGAGAGAGAGAGACAGACAGACAGACAGAGAGAGAGAGAGAAAUUUGUGCAGGGCCCUUGAUUUAGGAGUGGGCAAAGAGGGCAGCUGCCGAGGGGCUUCCACAAUGUUGGGAUCUCCACAAUCUGGGGAGUCCCUUACAUAAUUAAGCAUUCUGUAAGUGAAAGAAACUCAAAUUAAUCAGUAAACACUAAUUUUCUAUGAACUUUUUAACAUUUUUUAUCAUUAUUAAUACAGCUGCUUUUGUUUCAUUUACACUAAAUAAAUAUGCUCUUUUCUCUAGAUUAUAUUAUAUAUAUUAAAAAAUUGAAUGGAAUAUAGAUACAUAAAAACAUUAAUAUAAAUAUCUCAGGCUGGCCAUGGGCCUCCACAGACCUCAAGGUGGUGUGUCACACCAACACUUUUUCCGUCAACUUUUUCCAUCGUUUUUCUGAAAAUCGUGGAUAUCUUGGCUGCGGCCUGUCGCACACAAAUGGUGUUUCAUCUGAAACUUUCCGUUGGCACAGCCCAAGGAGUGCAAACAAACAUGGAGUCCACACUGCAGCAAAGAUACGCUAUUCUGAAACUAAUACUGUGUACUGUGAGACACAGUAUUGGAGGGCACAGGUGACUGUGUUGUGAGCCGCUCUUUUCUGGCCUUUCUUCAUACAAGAUUCAUCCUUGUGGUCCCAGAGGCACUUAUGGCUCCUUAUGCUUUCCACAAGGAUCUCCUCUGAACGGCGUGUCCAACUUGGAUGUGGUUUUCCUUCCAUGACGAAGCGUAGAGGUGGUAAUAACGCUCUGUGAGACAGGUUGAAGCCACGCGGAAAGUCUUGGUCUUGGUCUUGGAAAUAUAAACAAAGGCGGAAAUUUGCAGGAGGAAACAAUCCUGAUCGUCUGACAAAUUCAUGCGAUAAGUUCAUGUGGAACGAUGAAAAAUCGACGGAAAAAGUGAUAGUAUGACACCACCUUAAAUCCACCCCUGGAUUUGUGAGUUAAUUUUUUUUCUUUUUUCUUCUUACUUGAGGGGCAUUGGCUUUGGGAGGGAAAAAAAAAGAAAAGACCCACUUAGGUGCCAUUCCCUUAAGACCAAAAGGAUCAUCCAAAAUUGGAGAGUAAGUGCCUUGAAACUUUCCUCUUGAAAGAGUUCUAGUCAUAAGAAGGAGGAAAUAUAGAAGUAGGCAGAGUGUUCCAGAGUCUACCAAAAACUGACUGACUGUUAGGCUAGACUGUGUAAAAUACUGAUGUGACUACCUUCCUCUUUUUCUGUUUUUGCUGCUUCUCUGGAGUGAGGGGCUGGCACCAUGCACAAGUCUUCUUUGGUUGUGUCUGUCCCUUGCAUCUUCUGUGACUCCCAUCCUUAGCAGCUCUAGCACAAUUCCAUCCUUCCAUCUCACUCACUCUUUACCUUGAUCUUCCUUCAACUGGCUUUCUCCAGGCCCUUUUAAUUAGUCCUUUAUCAAGAUUGCCUCCAAUAACCACCUAGGAUGUGAACAAUCUCAUAUCACCACAUCAGUCUGGCUAGAUUAUAACGUGCCUUCUCUUCUUCCCUGGGAGCAGCAAACCUGUGUGGGCUCCCAGACAGGUGAGUGCCGUGUGCUGAGAAAGGCAUGGCAGAAAGUGGAAAGUGGUGCUGAGGUCCCCAGAUAACUUAGUGAACUCCUACACUGAGGGACUGGAGAAGGUCUUGAAUGACUCCUCCAGAAUCAAGGAACUGCCAGUCCAAUACAUCACAGGAGGCAAUGCUAUUGGGCUGCAAAAAAAAAUUCACCUUUAGGAAGUUAUUUGACCACAGCCUUCAGAAGAUGCAAGAGUCAAGCCUGAUGAACAAGGUGAGGACCAAUUGGCUAUCAGCAGGAACUUCAACGUGUGGCAGGAAGACUAAAUUCACAGCCAGCCUCUCUGAUGUGGCUGCAAUCUUCAUCCUCUUGAUGGGUGGUGCAGCAUUUAGCUGUCUGCUGCUGCUGCUGCUGCUGGAGCAUGCAGUGGGUAGUGAUGCAUGUGUAAAACCAUGGCCCAUAUUCUGAAGUGCUCUGCUCUCUCACUAUGAUCAUUUUCAGAGUCCACAUAGAUGAUUAGCUGGGUUCUCAAGAAAGAUUUCUCCUGU
Scylla paramamosain (green mud crab) is the source of this 4045-nucleotide long non-coding RNA. RefSeq lists it as uncharacterized. The record is from RefSeq and is a predicted model, not a curated record. NCBI's taxonomy places the organism in Eukaryota, Metazoa, Arthropoda, Malacostraca, Decapoda, Portunidae. The transcript has 6 exons.